This 436-nucleotide ribosomal RNA is filed under the name uncultured bacterium. Its description in RNAcentral is "partial 16S ribosomal RNA". It matches the Rfam family "Bacterial small subunit ribosomal RNA", at positions 29 to 507 of the family's 1533-position model. The record is from RNAcentral.
AACGAACGCUGGCGGCAUGCCUAACACAUGCCAGUCGAACGAGAUCCUUCGGGGUCUAGUGGCGCACGGGUGCGUAACGCGUGGGAAUCUGCCCUUAGGUUCGGAAUAACAGUUAGAAAUGACUGCUAAUACCGGAUGAUGACGUUAAGUCCAAAGAUUUAUCGCCUGAGGAUGAGCCCGCGUAGGAUUAGCUAGUUGGUGUGGUAAAGGCGCACCAAGGCGACGAUCCUUAGCUGGUCUGAGAGGAUGAUCAGCCACACUGGGACUGAGACACGGCCCAGACUCCUACGGGAGGCAGCAGUGGGGAAUAUUGGACAAUGGGCGCAAGCCUGAUCCAGCAAUGCCGCGUGAGUGAUGAAGGCCUUAGGGUUGUAAAGCUCUUUUACCCGAGAUGAUAAUGACAGUAUCGGGAGAAUAAGCCCCGGCUAACUCCGUG